Molecule: unclassified non-coding RNA, 627 nt
Filed under: Hevea brasiliensis (rubber tree)
Lineage: Eukaryota; Viridiplantae; Streptophyta; Magnoliopsida; Malpighiales; Euphorbiaceae
Source: RNAcentral
AUGGCCCUUCCAAUAGCAGCAUGUUCAUUUUGAAGCGUAUCAUGGUAGAGAAAGGCACUGCUGUCUAUUUAAGUGGGCUACGGGAGAAAUAUUUUGGUGAACUCUUCUUGAAUGCUUAUACUGUUCUUGGAGGUUCACUACAGGCUGAAGAAUCAAAUUCCCUCUUGCUAAAUGCAAGACCUGAUCUGCAUGAUUCCGUGGGAAUAUAUGAAUCAGCGGAUCUAGAAAGGCAAGGCACUUUGAGGUUCAGGCAAGGCACUUUGAGGUUCGACAAAGUGUAUGGUAAAAAGGAGGAUAUGCAGAGAACUGCCUUUGAGGAUGGCCUUAAUCACAUUGCCAGAUAUGUAGAGUCUUUCGAGUCUCGAUCCAAUGAGAUAUGGCUCGUGUUUCGCCAUGAAGGGAUAUCCUUAUCAAAGCUUCUCUAUACAGCUGAAGAAGUGAUAAAUGAUUCAGAGGGAGGAAAUGAAAAUAUAAAGCAUAUUCAGAUAUUACAUCCAUCAAAAUGGUGGAAAUGGUUGAAGACAACAGAAGCAGGGCGACAAGAAAUGCGUAAUCUGAUUUGGCAAUUGUUGAUGUCACUUAAGUCUUGUCAUGAUCGCAAUAUCACCCAUAGAGAUAUAAAACCUG